CAGACAGUUAUCUAUAUUUUAAAUGUUAUGAUAAUUUAUUUCACGAUAAAAAGGUCGUUUUCUCUCUCUUUUUGGAAGGAGAAAUCAAAGUAUUCAAAAUGAGCGUGUAUGUAGGUUAGUGAUAAUUAACUAGCUAGUGAUAUAUAUAUAUAUUUUUUAGAAGUGUACUUGGUGUCCAACUUGUUAAGAAGUUAGCUAGCUAGCUAACUACUGUAGAUAGAUACUAUAGAUAUCUAUUGAAUGUGGAGUAGCUACUGUAGCUAACUUCCUAGCCUUUUCCCUCCCAGCUAACGUUAGCUAUGGUUAUUUCUCAAUAGCACUUGUUUGUUUAUUUACAGGUUCAUCUUUUAAUGUUGAGGAUGUCCUUAGACCUUCUACGAAAGAGGGUGGGCAUGAAGAUGUCGAGCCCAAAGUUGAGCAGCUGAUGAAUAAACUUAAAAGGCUGCAACAAGGUAAGAGAGCUAUAGAGGAGGAGGUGAAAGAGGCCCAGUCACUCAGAGACUCUCUGCAGGAAGAACUCGAUGCCCGUAAGAAACCCUGAAGAAAUCUGGUUUUGCUCUCAUACUAAGUAAUAUUAGCUACAUCCUUUGUUAUUCUUCCCUUCCCACUGGAUACAGA
Molecule: long non-coding RNA, 618 nt
Filed under: Oncorhynchus kisutch (coho salmon)
Lineage: Eukaryota; Metazoa; Chordata; Actinopteri; Salmoniformes; Salmonidae
Description: lncRNA (ENSOKIG00005023963.1)
Source: RNAcentral